GGCGGUUCUUGGGUGACGCACCCCAAAACUAGGCUCCCUCCUGCCUGGUUCUGGGGUGCAUAACCCAAGAACCGCU
This is a non-coding RNA of Myotis brandtii (Brandt's bat), 76 nucleotides long. The record is from Rfam. NCBI's taxonomy places the organism in Eukaryota, Metazoa, Chordata, Mammalia, Chiroptera, Vespertilionidae.